This 459-nucleotide ribosomal RNA is filed under the name uncultured bacterium. RNAcentral's name for it is "partial 16S ribosomal RNA". It matches the Rfam family "Bacterial small subunit ribosomal RNA", at positions 338 to 795 of the family's 1533-position model. The record is from RNAcentral.
CCUACGGGUGGCAGCAGUGAGGAAUAUUGGUCAAUGGGCGCGAGCCUGAACCAGCCAAGUAGCGUGAAGGAUGACUGCCCUACGGGUUGUAAACUUCUUUUAUAAAGGAAUAAAGUGAGGCACGUGUGCCUUUUGUAUGUACUUUAUGAAUAAGGAUCGGCUAACCCCGUGCCGGCAGCCGCGGUAAUACGGAGGAGCCGAACGUUAUCCGGAUUUAUUGGGUUUAAAGGGAGCGUCGAUGGGUUGUGAAGUCCGUUGUGAAAGUUUGCGGCUCAAACGUAAAAUUGCAAUUGAUACUGGCAAGCUUGAGUACAGUUGAGGUAGGCGGAAUUCGUGGUGUAGCGGUGAAAUGCUUAGAUAUCACGAAGAACUCCGAUUGCGAAGGCAGCUUACUAGACUGCCACUGACAUUGAUGCUCGAAAGUGUGGGUAUCAAACAGGAUUAGAUACCCGGGUAGUC